GUCGAGCGGAGAUGUACUGAAGAUUUAUCGGAUGUACAUCUUAGCGGCGGACGGGUGAGUAACGCGUGGGCAACCUGCCUUCCACUGGGGGAUAACACAGGGAAACCUGUGCUAAUACCGCAUGACAUCACAUAGGGCAUCCUGUGUGAUCAAAGGAGUGAUCCGGUGGAAGAUGGGCCCGCGUCCGAUUAGCUAGUUGGUGAGGUAACGGCUCACCAAGGCGACGAUCGGUAGCCGGACUGAGAGGUUGGCCGGCCACAUUGGGACUGAGACACGGCCCAGACUCCUACGGGAGGCAGCAGUGGGGAAUAUUGCGCAAUGGGGGGAACCCUGACGCAGCGACGCCGCGUGAAGGAAGAAGGCCUUCGGGUUGUAAACUUCUUUGAUGAGGGACGAAGGAAGUGACGGUACCUCAAAAACAAGCCACGGCUAACUACGUGCCAGCAGCCGCGGUAGUACGUAGGUGGCGAGCGUUGUCCGGAAUUACUGGGUGUAAAGGGCGUGUAGGCGGGGAUGCAAGUCAGAUGUGAAAUACCGCGGCUUAACCGCGGGGCUGCAUCUGAAACUGUGUCUCUUGAGUGUCGGAGAGGAAAGCGGAAUUCCCAGUGUAGCGGUGAAAUGCGUA
Molecule: ribosomal RNA, 625 nt
Filed under: uncultured bacterium
Lineage: Bacteria
Description: bacterial SSU rRNA
Rfam family: Bacterial small subunit ribosomal RNA
Source: RNAcentral